RNAcentral lists this ribosomal RNA (253 nucleotides) under uncultured bacterium. RNAcentral's name for it is "partial 16S ribosomal RNA". It matches the Rfam family "Bacterial small subunit ribosomal RNA", at positions 524 to 776 of the family's 1533-position model. The record is from RNAcentral.
GACAGAGGUCCCAAGCGUUGUUCGGAUUUACUGGGCGUAAAGGGCGCGUAGGCGGCCGGGCCAGUCCGGCGUGAAAGCCCGCAGCUUAACUGCGGAAGGGCGUCGGAUACUACCCGGCUCGAGGGUUGGAGAGGGGACUGGAAUUCCCGGUGUAGCGGUGAAAUGCGUAGAUAUCGGGAAGAACGCCAGUGGCGAAGGCAAGUCCCUGGACAACUCCUGACGCUGAGGCGCGAAAGCCAGGGGAGCAAACAGG